Molecule: long non-coding RNA, 1144 nt
Organism: Lolium perenne
Lineage: Eukaryota; Viridiplantae; Streptophyta; Magnoliopsida; Poales; Poaceae
Source: RefSeq, a predicted model, not a curated record
CCAGGAGGCCCCAUGGCAGCGAGACCAGCGCCAGUACAAGAACCAUUGCUCUCAAGGUUUAGAGAGAAAUGCGAGCAUGCAGGUUUGCUUCGCUAGUAUAGAGUCUGAUUGGAGUGGACUUUUACUGGAGACGGUAUUAAUUAGGUAUCAGGUUAUAUAGACGUGUCGCCGAGGUGCCGUAGUCCAACAAUCGUGCCGAUUUGUUUAUGGUUUGUUCAAGUUUAGUGUAAGAUGAGUGCGGUCAGUCAGCCUGCCGGCGGUCAUGUUGCCUUGCUCGGAAGGAACUUGGUGGGGGAGAAAUUCCGACGGGAUCGGCGUGGUCGGUGACGAGCGGGAUGGACCCCACGUGAACUCAGAUUGCUCGGUCUUCCUGAAAUAUAUCGGAGAGCGAAUUUUGAUCAAGGAAACAAGGUCACGCUAUGGACAUGGGCCAGUAGGCUUUUGUUCGUUGGAACUAGUCUUAAUAAACUAGACAUGGGCUAGUUAAUCAGGUGUUUAUCUUCGGACUCCGGCCACUAGCCCCUUCUGUCUCCGCCCUUGCUCGCCAUGGCCGCCGCUCCUCCUUCGGCUGCGGCUCCCGGAUGCGCUACCUUCCAGUACAAUACAUGUAUCUGGCACCUGCAUCGCCGUCGUGCGCUCGAACUCAGGCCGCGGUGAAGAGGGUGGCGAGGGGUUCCGGUGGUCAGCGACGUAUGCAAGGAGAGGCUUGUUAUCGGCGGGGUCGGCCAGGAGAAGCUGGUUGGCGGUGAACUCCCCUGCACCGACUACCGAAGGUCGAAGAUGAAUACGACACUUUGAGGUCGCACUCCAUGAGCAAAGCCAUUUUCUGUUUGCUUGCAAUGAGUUCAGACUUGCAUCGUUGCAGAAACACAUAUGCCAAAUUAGCAAUUACUGUAACUGAUUCCUAUCUUAUUGCAAAGAUGCACGGCUGGUAAUGUUGCUGGUUUUGGAUGUGUGACAAAUUUGGUUAAUGUUGCUGGUUUUGCAUGUAUGACUGAGUGGUCAUUACAUUGUUUAUGGUCAUUCUGCUGAUUGGAAAUAAUUCAAAUGAAAAGAAACCAAACGUUGUAUGCGUGUGUGAUCGAGUGGUCAUUGUACAUUCUUUAUGUAUGACUGGCCAUGGCCAUGGUUAGUAUUGAGGUUG